This 404-nucleotide ribosomal RNA is filed under the name uncultured bacterium. RNAcentral's name for it is "bacterial SSU rRNA". It matches the Rfam family "Bacterial small subunit ribosomal RNA", at positions 355 to 776 of the family's 1533-position model. The record is from RNAcentral.
UUGGGAAUCUUGGACAAUGGGGGAAACCCUGAUCCAGCCAUGCCGCGUGAGUGAUGAAGGCCUUCGGGUUGUAAAACUCUUUCGCGCACGACGAUAAUGACGGUAGUGCGAGAAGAAGCUCCGGCUAACUUCGUGCCAGCAGCCGCGGUAAUACGAAGGGGGCUAGCGUUGUUCGGAAUUACUGGGCGUAAAGCGCGCGCAGGCGGUUCUCCAAGUCAGUGGUGAAAGCCCGGAGCUCAACUCCGGAACUGCCAUUGAAACUGUUGAACUUGAGGACGAGAGAGGUGAGUGGAAUUCCCAGUGUAGAGGUGAAAUUCGUAGAUAUUGGGAAGAACACCGGUGGCGAAGGCGGCUCACUGGCUCGUUUCUGACGCUCAGGCGCGACAGCGUGGGGAUCAAACAGG